Molecule: ribosomal RNA, 405 nt
Filed under: uncultured prokaryote
Description: bacterial SSU rRNA
Rfam family: Bacterial small subunit ribosomal RNA
Source: RNAcentral
UGGGGAAUAUUGGGCAAUGGGCGCAAGCCUGACCCAGCAACGCCGCGUGAGGGAAGAAGGCUUUCGGGUUGUAAACCUCUGUCCUUGGUGACGAAAAAAAUGACGGUAGCCAAGGAGGAAGCCCCGGCUAACUACGUGCCAGCAGCCGCGGUAAUACGUAGGGGGCGAGCGUUGUCCGGCAUUACUGGUCGUAAAGGGUGCGUAGGUGGCCUUUUAAGUUGGAUGUGAAAUCCCCGGGCUUAACUGGGGUGGUGCAUCUAAUACUGGAGGGCUAGAGUGCAGGAGAGGGAAGCGGAAGUCCUAGUGUAGCGGUGAAAUGCGUAGAUAUUAGGAGGAACACCAGUGGCGAAGGCGGCUUUCUGGACUGUAACUGACACUGAGGCACGAAAGCGUGGGGAGCAAACA